CUAGAGAAAGAGGGUCCACACCUCCUUAAUGAA
RNAcentral lists this transfer RNA (33 nucleotides) under Zosterops griseotinctus. RNAcentral's name for it is "partial tRNA-Lys". Lineage: Eukaryota; Metazoa; Chordata; Aves; Passeriformes; Zosteropidae. The record is from RNAcentral.